Non-coding RNA from Cricetulus griseus (Chinese hamster), 87 nucleotides. The record is from Rfam. Lineage: Eukaryota; Metazoa; Chordata; Mammalia; Rodentia; Cricetidae.
CCUUCGAUAGCUCAGCUGGUAGAGCGGAGGACUGUAGAGUAUAUGACAGCCAUCCUUAGGUCGCUGGUUCGAUUCCGGCUCGAAGGA